This 254-nucleotide ribosomal RNA is filed under the name uncultured bacterium. RNAcentral's name for it is "partial 16S ribosomal RNA". It matches the Rfam family "Bacterial small subunit ribosomal RNA", at positions 524 to 776 of the family's 1533-position model. The record is from RNAcentral.
AACGUAGGGUCCAAGCGUUAUCCGGAAUUACUGGGCGUAAAGAGUUGCGUAGGUGGCAUAGUAAGCAGAUAGUGAAAUGAUACGGCUCAACCGUAUGUCCAUUAUCUGAACUGCUAAGCUUGAGCAUAGUAGAGGUAGCUGGAAUUGCUGGUGUAGGAGUGAAAUCCGUAGAUAUCAGCAGGAACACCGAUGGCGUAGGCAGGCUACUGGGCUAUUGCUGACACUAAGGCACGAAAGCGUGGGGAGCGAACGGG